Molecule: ribosomal RNA, 474 nt
Filed under: uncultured bacterium
Lineage: Bacteria
Description: SSU rRNA
Rfam family: Bacterial small subunit ribosomal RNA
Source: RNAcentral
AGGACGAACGCUGGCGGCGUGCUUAACACAUGCAAGUCGAGCGGAAAGGCCCUUCGGGGUACUCGAGCGGCGAACGGGUGAGUAACACGUGAGUAAUCUGCCCCUAGCUCUGGGAUAGCUCCGGGAAACCGGGAUUAAUACUGGAUACGACCACCUUAGACAUCUUUUGUGGUGGAAAGAAUUUCGGCUAGGGAUGAGCUCGCGGCCUAUCAGCUUGUUGGUGGGGUAACGGCCUACCAAGGCGACGACGGGUAGCCGGCCUGAGAGGGCGACCGGCCACACUGGGACUGAGACACGGCCCAGACUCCUACGGGAGGCAGCAGUGGGGAAUAUUGCGCAAUGGGCGAAAGCCUGACGCAGCGACGCCGCGUGGGGGAUGAAGGCCUUCGGGUUGUAAACCCCUUUCACCAGGGCGAAGCGAGAGUGACGGUACCUGGGGAAGAAGGCGCCGGCUAACUACGUGCCAGCAGCCGC